GCCAUCGUAGUGCAAUGGUCAGCACACUCGAUGCUCAUUCGAGAGAUCCAGGUUCGAGUCCUGGCUACGGCA
Molecule: non-coding RNA, 72 nt
Organism: Stegodyphus dumicola
Lineage: Eukaryota; Metazoa; Arthropoda; Arachnida; Araneae; Eresidae
Source: the annotation of a RefSeq genome assembly